CAGGUCGGCUGGACGGUCGCGGUUCCGCGCUUUGGCGCAGAGUCGAGGAAAGUCCGCACUCCACAGAGCACGGCACCGGGGAAACCCCGGGGCGAGGUAACUUGCCGGAUAGGGCCACAGAAACAGACAGCCGCCGCAAGGCGGUCAUGGUGAAAAGGCGGUGUAAGAGACCACCGGCGUCUGCAGCAAUGCGGGCGGCCAGGUAACCCCCGCCGGGAGCAAGGCCAAGCAGGGACGAGACGCUGCUCGCGUCGUUCGAGUUCCGGGUAGGCUGCACAGAGAGAUGACCGUCCAGGCAGAGCGUCGGGAAGAAACUCUUCGGAGCGUAAACCGACAUUCCUCCGCCGGACAAAAUGCGGCUUAUAGGCCGGCCUGAGGA
RNAcentral lists this RNase P RNA (379 nucleotides) under Chloroflexota bacterium. RNAcentral describes it as "Chloroflexi bacterium RNase P RNA component class A". It matches the Rfam family "Bacterial RNase P class A". From Rfam's summary of the family: Ribonuclease P (RNase P) is a ubiquitous endoribonuclease, found in archaea, bacteria and eukarya as well as chloroplasts and mitochondria. Its best characterised activity is the generation of mature 5'-ends of tRNAs by cleaving the 5'-leader elements of precursor-tRNAs. Cellular RNase Ps are ribonucleoproteins. The record is from RNAcentral. RNAcentral also lists the same sequence under 1 other name. Lineage: Bacteria; Bacillati; Chloroflexota.